Molecule: long non-coding RNA, 1030 nt
Filed under: Equus caballus (horse)
Lineage: Eukaryota; Metazoa; Chordata; Mammalia; Perissodactyla; Equidae
Description: lncRNA (ENSECAG00000050657.1)
Source: RNAcentral
AUAGAGAGGGAAAGACCAAAUGUUAAGCAAUGCUCCCCAGAUAUCUCAAAUUUUCCUUCAAAAUGGUCAACCAGAGGCAUCGCUGGUAUUCCUUUCUCUCCGCUCACCUGCUAGUUGAGAUGCCAAAGGUGGAUGGCACAAUGGACACUCCACGCAGAUCUUUUGAAAAAUUGAUGGGGAAUUAAAAAAGAGACUAUCAUCUCUACUUUCCCUUUUGGCGAAAUUUCGCUAAGGUAUACUCCAACCAUUCCACUUCACUGCACUCUCGCGCGCAGCCUCUCUUCCUGUGAGUGAGGAAGACGCUGCAUCCCAGGAGCUUCUAUGUAAAGUCCAGGAGGAGAACCAAGAGGAGAACUUCCCUGGUUCAGUGAGCCGUGGCCCGAGGAGUAAGCUGGAUGUCAGGUUUCACUGGAGCUUCCAGACUAACACAGGCUAGGAAGAAAGACCUGGGCACCCACUUCUGAAAAAAUUGGCCAUGAAAAUCCUAUGAACAGCUGCUGAGUGUUGUCUGAUGUAUCUCUGGAAGCCUCACCAAAACCCUGCAGGGAAGGUGGACUUUGCAGAUGAAGAAAGAAGCCCAGAUGCCACAGCACCUGGGCAAGAACCUGGAUCUUUGAUGCUCCGUGUCCCACGGCUCCUGGGACAUCGUCCUGCCGGCGCACCCACAGCUGGAGGAAAUUGCACCCAUAGACAAAUUUUUAUUCAACCUAAAACAAGGACUUUCUGUCAUCGCGGAAAUAUUUGCAUAAUACAGAAAAAGAUAAAGGAGAAAAUUUUAAAUGUCCCAUCCAGAGAUAACCAGCAUUGUUUUUUAGAUUUCCCCCCCAAAUUCUCAUUUUGAAAAAAAAAGCUACAGAAAGUUGAAAAAUAAUGAACCUAUUAACCCUUCACCCAGAUUCACCAAAUGUUAACAUUUUGCCAGGUUGGCAUUUUCUGUCUUUGUUGUGCUAUAGGGAAGUAAUUUGCAGACAUCAUGACAUUUCAUCCCUGAAUAUUUCAGUACAUGUAUCAUAAGAACAAGUUGAUUUCC